CCUAAACUUGAGCUAAAAUCAAUUGUCUGAAUCAAAACCUUUUGAAUGAAAUAAAACUUUCAACAACGGAUCUCUAGGCUCUUGCAUCGAUGAAGAACGCAGUGAAAUGCGAUAAGUAAUGUGAAUUGCAGAAUCUCGUGAAUCAUCGAAUCUUUGAACGCACAUUGCGCCCUAUGGUAUUCCGUAGGGCAUGCCUGUCUGAGCGUCAGCUCCCCCCCAACUCAAGCUUCUUUUUGAAAUAGAAGCCUGGUUUAUCUUGGAGAAGUCUCUCUACCUACAGAGUCACUCUUCAGCAAUUAAUAGGCAGUAUGGUUUGUACCUGUUAUCAGACGUAAUAAGAAUAUAAAUUCGUUUGAAGGAGACCAGCCUGUACUUGCCCUAACUCAUCCAUUCUUCUUUUGGGUGACCUCAGAUCAGGUAGGGAUACCCACUGAAC
This 436-nucleotide ribosomal RNA is filed under the name Hydnoplicata convoluta. Its description in RNAcentral is "eukaryotic LSU rRNA". The stretch from base 55 to 208 matches the Rfam family "5.8S ribosomal RNA". Lineage: Eukaryota; Fungi; Ascomycota; Pezizomycetes; Pezizales; Pezizaceae. The record is from RNAcentral.